Molecule: ribosomal RNA, 501 nt
Filed under: fungal sp. Y143
Lineage: Eukaryota; Fungi
Description: eukaryotic LSU rRNA
Rfam family: 5.8S ribosomal RNA (bases 126-279)
Source: RNAcentral
UGUGACAUACCUAAAACGUUGCUUCGGCGGGAACAGACGGCCCUGUAACAACGGGCCGCCCCCGCCAGAGGACCCCUAACUCUGUUUUUAUAAUGUUUUUCUGAGUAAACAAGCAAAUAAAUUAAAACUUUCAACAACGGAUCUCUUGGCUCUGGCAUCGAUGAAGAACGCAGCGAAAUGCGAUAAGUAAUGUGAAUUGCAGAAUUCAGUGAAUCAUCGAAUCUUUGAACGCACAUUGCGCCCGCCAGUAUUCUGGCGGGCAUGCCUGUUCGAGCGUCAUUACAACCCUCAGGCCCCCGGGCCUGGCGUUGGGGAUCGGCGGAAGCCCCCUGUGGGCACACGCCGUCCCUCAAAUACAGUGGCGGUCCCGCCGCAGCUUCCAUUGCGUAGUAGCUAACACCUCGCAACUGGAGAGCGGCGCGGCCAUGCCGUAAAACACCCAACUUCUGAAUGUUGACCUCGAAUCAGGUAGGAAUACCCGCUGAACUUAAGCAUAUCAAA